RNAcentral lists this long non-coding RNA (221 nucleotides) under Lathyrus oleraceus (garden pea). RNAcentral's name for it is "Pisum sativum (pea) long non-coding RNA (PSAT_LNC030982)". Lineage: Eukaryota; Viridiplantae; Streptophyta; Magnoliopsida; Fabales; Fabaceae. The record is from RNAcentral.
AAUUAUCCUGGGUAUUCCUGUAUCAGAACUCUAAGACAAUCGAGAGUGCUUGAAAUACUAUAAGGAAAGUGUUGCGUUCACGAUUCAAGCCUGGAUCCCUUUAAUCUUUCCGAAAUUUCUAACAGUCUUAUAGUAUCUCAAAUCAUGGCCACCGACGCUUCUGUUUCAAGCAUCAAACUGAUGAAUCAGGACCUUGUUAAGUUAGAUCGUUUCGAUGGAAC